CUUCACUCACUGUUUUUCCAGAUGCCUGAUUUUGAUGUGGGUUCUAUCACCUUUCAUGAUCUUAAUUACAUUAAUUAAAGUGCCUGGAAAACCAGGCUCCAAUAUGUUGAUAGGAAAACCUUAGUUGCCUGUGAACUGAAUAAGUGGGGAGUUAAAUAGGAAACUAAAAAGGAACUGUGUGGUUUCUUGCUGGUUGGGUAUCCUAGGGAAACAACAGGGUGCUCAACUCGUCCUCCAGGCAGAUGGUCCAGGUUUGGACCUCAGUCCAGGUGUGCCACGUCAUCACCGGGGUGAGAUCUGGAAGUUUCUAGCUGAGCAGUUCCACCUUAAACAUCCAUUUCCCAGUAAACAGCAGCCAAAGGAUGUGCCCUACAAAGAGCUCUUGAAGAAGCUGACCUCCCAGCAGCACGCCAUCCUCAUUGACCUCGGGCGAACCUUUCCAACACAUCCAUACUUCUCUGCCCAGCUUGGAGCAGGUCAGCUGUCACUUUACAACAUUCUGAAGGCCUACUCACUUCUGGACCAGGAAGUUGGAUACUGUCAAGGUCUCAGCUUCGUGGCAGGCAUUUUGCUCCUUCAUAUGAGUGAGGAAGAAGCAUUCAAGAUGCUCAAGUUCCUGAUGUUUGACAU
RNAcentral lists this long non-coding RNA (630 nucleotides) under Rattus norvegicus (Norway rat). Its description in RNAcentral is "long non-coding RNA NONRATT009909". Lineage: Eukaryota; Metazoa; Chordata; Mammalia; Rodentia; Muridae. The record is from RNAcentral.